AACCAAAUGCUGUCACGACAGGGA
RNAcentral lists this non-coding RNA (24 nucleotides) under Arabidopsis thaliana (thale cress). Lineage: Eukaryota; Viridiplantae; Streptophyta; Magnoliopsida; Brassicales; Brassicaceae. The record is from RNAcentral.